This is an RNA transcript of Cryptomeria japonica (Japanese cedar), 1277 nucleotides long. RefSeq lists it as uncharacterized. The transcript has 6 exons. Lineage: Eukaryota; Viridiplantae; Streptophyta; Pinopsida; Cupressales; Cupressaceae. The record is from RefSeq and is a predicted model, not a curated record.
UUUACAACCUCUCUAUUGAAAUGAUUUUAUAUUUGUUUUGAAAUUGUGGUGUUCAUGUGAUAUGCAAUCGUUGUUCGUGUGUAACUGAUUCCGUUGGAGCGUUUUCCUGAUUUAUGCCCUGGCCCAAUUGGGUGGGAUAAACCCUAGGUUGUAUCUACUAGUUGCAAAUUAGCUGUUGCCAUAUCAAAUCCAACUUUUUUUUGGAAAUGGUUAUCCAGCCUCUAGGAUCUAUCAAUGCAUAAGUUAUGGUGUGUGCAGGAUUUAUAGGGAUGUCCCCUAGAUGUUUCCUGUCCCUGGGACAUCCCGGAGAUGGGGACGCCUGAAAAAAACCGGCUGAUUGUAGUACCUUUUCUUAUGUCUGGAUUUAGGUGAAAUGAAAACUGUAGAUUCUGAACAAGGAUAUUAAACGACUAUUUUUUUCAGCUUUUUAUCAUGUGGAUGAUUCUCAUUUUGUAUACAACAUGGAGUCCUUGUUGAGGGAGGGAGUUCAAUUGGAAAUGAAGGGAAGCACUGAUUUUGCUUCUGCAGUUGUUGUGCUACUUGGUAUGUCACAUGGGAUAGAGGAUAUCUCUACCUCUGGUUACAGAGAUUCUUCUCUUGUAGCAAUCCUUUCCGUCCAAUCCUGAGGAAAUUUACUUGGGUUGUGUGUUUGCCCCUCAGACUAGUGCAAGGUUAUUUAAAUUGGUGGUAGAAGAGGAUCACAUUCAAUUGGAAUUGGAAGAGCUGAAAAUGCCAACGCAGUUUGGUGCUGCUCAGCUUGUAUUUUUGACAUCAAUAUACAUUUAGAUUUCGUAAUAUGUGGUACAAAAUGAGGAAAUAUUGAUUUCUGUCCUUCAGCUCCAUUGUCACAAACUGAAACCAGAAUCAGCUCUCGUGACUUGCCUUAAAGAGGAAUUACACAGAUGGUGACUUGAGCAUUUCAAUAGAUGAUAACUAAUGAAUAUUUUUCUCGAUUGUGAUCUUUUUUAUGUUGUAAUCAGCAAUAAAUAUGUAUCUUACUAUCUAGUGAUAUCCUUUUCUUUUCGAAUUAAGAUCAAAUACUUCUGAAGCAAAUUUGCACUGACAUAAUGUACAGUGGUUUGACUUUUGACGAUACUUGAUUCAAGCCAUCUAAAUCAUUAGAUUUUUCUCUGAUGAUUAUUGUGGCUUGAUGGAACCAGUUGGCUGUGAUUAUGCUAUUGUUUUACCCCAGUAGCAGGGUUCAUAUCCUUAAGGGGUUGUGCAUGCCCUUAUGGCACUAUUGAGGAACAUAAUCCAAUGCUUCCCUUUUUUAGGUA